GAUGAACGCUGGCGGCGUGCCUAAUACAUGCGAGUCGAGCGAACAGACGAGGAGCUUGCUCCUCUGACGUUAGCGGCGGACGGGUGAGUAACACGUGGAUAACCUACCUAUAAGACUGGGAUAACUUCGGGAAACCGGAGCUAAUACCGGAUAAUAUAUUGAACCGCAUGGUUCAAUAGUGAAAGACGGUUUUGCUGUCACUUAUAGAUAGAUCCAGGCGGCAUUAGCUAGUUGGUAAGGUAACGGCUUACCAAGGCGACGAUGCGUAUCCGACCUGAGAGGGUGUUCGGCCACACUGGAACUGAGACACGGUCCAGACUCCUACGGGAGGCAGUAGUAGGGAAUCUUCCGCAAUGGGCGAAAGCCUGACGGAGCAACGCCGCGUGAGUGAUGAAGGUCUUCGGAUCGUAAAACUCUGUUAUUAGGGAAGAACAAAUGUGUAAUUAACUAUGCACGUCUUGACGGUACCUAAUCAGAAAGCCACGGCUAACUACGUG
This 497-nucleotide ribosomal RNA is filed under the name uncultured bacterium. RNAcentral's name for it is "partial 16S ribosomal RNA". It matches the Rfam family "Bacterial small subunit ribosomal RNA", at positions 28 to 507 of the family's 1533-position model. The record is from RNAcentral.